RNAcentral lists this unclassified non-coding RNA (240 nucleotides) under soil metagenome. Its description in RNAcentral is "partial contains 5.8S ribosomal RNA, internal transcribed spacer 2, and large subunit ribosomal RNA". The record is from RNAcentral.
AACCUAGCACACCUGCGGUGUGUACCUGCGGAAGGAUCAUUACACAACAAAAUAUGAAGGUCUGGCUUCGCGGCCGGCUGAAGUAUUUUUUUUCACCCAUGUCUUUUGCGCGCUUGUUGUUUCCUGGGCGGGUUCGCCCGCCACCAGGACCAAACCAUAAACCUUUUUUUUAUGUAGUUGCAAUCAGCGUCAGUAAAAACAAUGUAAUUAUUACAACUUUUAACAAUGGAUCUCAGAUCG